UGUGAGGCCACGGGAGCCGGACUUAGCAGACAGUACCCUGAGGUGACCUCCUUGAGCCUGGAGAAGCUGAGUCCGAAGGUGCUGAGCAGGCAGGUCUUGCGUCUGCAGGAGCGGUACGGCGUAGCCCCAGCGCUGUGUCCAAACGCGGCCAUUCAGCAGCGCCUGGUGGCCUGCGGCACCUGCACCACAAGCGGUUUGUGGAGGUUUGUGAGCAGGAGGGGGUCCUGGGGGCAGCCAGCCGCGGCCUGAGCCACAGAGUUUGGCCUGGGAUACUCACUGCGCACUGCAGGGUGCACAGACAUCCCAAGUAGGAGCUGCUUCUUGCCCCAGAGCUGGAAGAGCCUGUCACAGGAGAACUGGACCGACCACGUGCAGGGCCUGGUGGGGCAGAGCCCGUGGCUUCAGGAGCAGCUGUCUCAGCUGCUGGUCUCCCACAGUGAUCCAGUCACGGCCGCCCAGUGUGCCAUGGACCUCUUGCUGCCCGAGGAGCGGCUGCCGGCUGCGGUGGCUGUGGAACUCCGCCGGUUCA
Molecule: small RNA, 529 nt
Filed under: Pan troglodytes (chimpanzee)
Lineage: Eukaryota; Metazoa; Chordata; Mammalia; Primates; Hominidae
Description: retained intron
Source: RNAcentral